GAUGAACGCUGGCGGCGUGCCUAAUACAUGCCAGUCGAGCGAACGGACGAGAAGCUUGCUUCUCUGAUGUUAGCGGCGGACGGGUGAGUAACACGUGGAUAACCUACCUGUAAGACUGGGAUAACUUCGGGAAACCGGAGCUAAUACCGGAUGAUAUUUUGAACCGCAUGGUUCAAAAGUGAAAGACGGUCUUGCUGUCACUUAUAGAUGGAUCCGCGCUGCAUUAGCUAGUUGGUAAGGUAACGGCUUACCAAGGCAACGAUGCAUAGCCGACCUGAGAGGGUGAUCGGCCACACUGGAACUGAGACACGGUCCAGACUCCUACGGGAGGCAGCAGUAGGGAAUCUUCCGCAAUGGGCGAAAGCCUGACGGAGCAACGCCGCGUGAGUGAUGAAGGUCUUCGGAUCGUAAAACUCUGUUAUUAGGGAAGAACAUAUGUGUAAGUAACUGUGCACAUCUUGACGGUACCUAAUCAGAAAGCCACGGCUAACUACGUG
This 497-nucleotide ribosomal RNA is filed under the name uncultured bacterium. RNAcentral describes it as "partial 16S ribosomal RNA". It matches the Rfam family "Bacterial small subunit ribosomal RNA", at positions 28 to 507 of the family's 1533-position model. The record is from RNAcentral.